AGCAUCAUUACCUGUAAUAAAUUUUACUGAUUUUUCUUUUAACUAAUUCCUCUCAUUUUCACAUUUCUUGUGCUUUUUUGUUAGGUAUUAGUGCUAAAAUACUCUAUAGACUUUAAGUAGGUGAACAUUUCAAACAGCUUCAUAAAAUUCAUAUAUAUCUAUAUUUUAAUUUGUAAUGUUUUAUGAAAGAGCAUGAUACACAUUCAUUUUAAACCCUUAAAAAAAUUCUGUUUCAGCCACCAUUAAACAAUAAGGCCAGAUCUCUUGGUUAGUGUGUAUGUCUUUGUGUGUAUGUUUCUUUUUUAUUUUUGGUAGCUAAUUUGUAGAAGUUCAGUUCUGUGGUAAGGCAAGAUGAUCUCUAUGCUUUUUAAGAGAAAAUCAUGAACUUAAUAGAAAUGCAAUAUUGAGUUAAAAAUCUUCUUAAAUAUUAUAUUAUCCAUUUUUCCUAAAGGAAGAAUUUAUUAUUUUAACUUUAAUAUAAGCAUGCAAUUUCAGAGCUGAUAGGAAUAUAAGAAGUAACUACCCUGAACUUCUUUGUCUGUGGAUAAGAAAAUAUGCUCAUAAGAGUCCGUGACAGACCAGGAAAAGAAUGUAGUUAUCUAAUUGCUAAACCAGGACUCUCCUUCAAAACUACGCAGCCAUGUCUGUUCCAGGUUCUGUGCAGACUAUAAACUUGUUCUCAUAAGCCAAAAUGUGCUGACCGAAUUCUCCAAGCACAUUAUCUGUGAUCUACCUUCCAAUAAUGCACAUACUUCUUUUUCAUAAUAAAAGUACUUUCAUUUACCUAUUAAAGUGAAGAUCAGGCAAAUUACCCAAAGUUGUAAAGCUAAUCUGAUACUUACGCGUUAAAUCACAAAAGAUAUUUUAUAAUUCUAAAAUAUUAGUUUUAUUUUCAAAUUCAAUUUAAAUGUAUGGACAAUUUCCCCUUCUCCUGGGGCUACAUAGCCAUAGUAAGAACUGUAAUCGCUUUCUCAUAAGUGAACAUUCACUAUGGACACUGUGAUGCAUAGCUUUGUGCACACUCUUCUGGUUUCCUUGUCCAGGUUUAUUUUUCAUGAUUGCCAGAGAGGGAAAGAAAAUAUAUUUUGUACUUUAAGGAGUUAAUGAAGUGCAGCUAAGAGAAGACAAAAAUAAAAGUUUAUACAGUACAGGAAGACUAAAUGAAUUUGUGGGCUUUAAGAGCAUUUUUAUAAAGGGCUUCAGGAUAUUUAAAUAUAUUUUAAUGUAUUUGAUUGCAUUUUGACUUUUGAGCCUCACCAUCAGCUAAAUCCCUUGUCAGCCUAUGACUCCAAUCCUGCAAUUGUUUCCCAAAAACUGAAGGAGUUCUAGACAAAUCAGUGUUAUUAUUCUGAAUCACCCUUUUUAAAAACAAUCCUUUGUUUUUUGUGCAUAUGAUAUUGUUAUGGGUUGAAUUGUGUCUCCCCAAAAAUAUAUGUUGAAGUCAUUAGCCCCAGAGCCUAAGAAUGUGACUUUAUUUGGAAAUAAGGUUUUUACAGAGACAAUCCAAGUUUAAGUCAUGAGGCUAGUCCCUAAUCCAAUAGGACUGAUGUCCUUAUAAAAAGAGAAAUUUGGGUCCAGAGAAGGAUAUGCACAGAGGGAAUGCAUAUCCUGUGAAAAGACAGAGACACAGGGAGAGCAUCAUUUGAAGAUGAAGGCAGGAAUUGGAGAACUUCAUCUACAAGGCCCCAAAGCUUGCCCGCAAACCUCCAGAGGCCAGGAGAGAGGCAUGGAACAGAUUCUUCGUCACAGCCCUCAGAAAAAAACUCAUCCUGUGGAAACCUUGACUUUGGACUUCCAGCCUCAAUAAGGGUCACUAAUCUACUCUUAUCUCAACUGUGACUUUGAAUAUGGUGAUGAAGAUAUGAACAGGGAUAUGCUACUAAAUCCAGAUUAAUGGGAGUGAACCAGAUGCUUUCGCAGAGGCAUUGAGGAAGAGAACAGGCUCUUCUACUGAGUUGCUAAGGAAAGAACAACUAAGAGGUGGAGUCUCUAGAUUUGCCCAUCUGCAUCUGUCUGAUCCACUCCACAGGAAGGCAAGAAAACAGGGGUCCCAGGAAUCUUCUGCCCUUCUGCCCAUGACUCUGCCUGCACCAGACGACACUUACUGGUGUUCACUCAAGCACAGUAAUCCAUUGGAAACAAGAAGCUUGCACAGUGAAUUUAAUAGUCUUCUGAGACUUUGGGUCCUGGAGUUUUCAGCAUCAACAAUACUAGGCACAGGUGUUUACGAAUAAACAAAAAUAUGUGCUUAUACAUUC
Long non-coding RNA from Homo sapiens (human), 2258 nucleotides. The record is from Ensembl. Lineage: Eukaryota; Metazoa; Chordata; Mammalia; Primates; Hominidae.